This 710-nucleotide ribosomal RNA is filed under the name Roseovarius sp. RNAcentral's name for it is "bacterial SSU rRNA". It matches the Rfam family "Bacterial small subunit ribosomal RNA", at positions 34 to 793 of the family's 1533-position model. Lineage: Bacteria; Pseudomonadati; Pseudomonadota; Alphaproteobacteria; Rhodobacterales; Roseobacteraceae. The record is from RNAcentral.
GGCCAGGGCGGCAGCUACACAUGCAGUCGAGCGAGAACUUCGGUUCUAGCGGCGGACGGGUUAGUAACGCGUGGGAACGUGCCCUUCACUACGGAAUAGUCCCGGGAAACUGGGUUUAAUACCGUAUACGCCCUUCGGGGGAAAGAAUUUCGGUGAAGGAUCGGCCCGCGUUAGAUUAGAUAGUUGGUGGGGUAACGGCCUACCAAGUCUACGAUCUAUAGCUGGUUUUAGAGGAUGAUCAGCAACACUGGGACUGAGACACGGCCCAGACUCCUACGGGAGGCAGCAGUGGGGAAUCUUAGACAAUGGGCGCAAGCCUGAUCUAGCCAUGCCGCGUGAGUGAUGAAGGCCUUAGGGUCGUAAAGCUCUUUCGCCAGGGAUGAUAAUGACAGUACCUGGUAAAGAAACCCCGGCUAACUCCGUGCCAGCAGCCGCGGUAAUACGGAGGGGGUUAGCGUUGUUCGGAAUUACUGGGCGUAAAGCGCGCGUAGGCGGAUUGGAAAGUUGGGGGUGAAAUCCCAGGGCUCAACCCUGGAACUGCCUCCAAAACUAUCAGUCUAGAGUUCGAGAGAGGUGAGUGGAACUCCGAGUGUAGAGGUGAAAUUCGUAGAUAUUCGGAAGAACACCAGUGGCGAAGGCGGCUCACUGGCUCGAUACUGACGCUGAGGUGCGAAAGUGUGGGGAGCAAACAGGAUUAGAUACCCUGGUAG